Tachysurus fulvidraco (yellow catfish) is the source of this 2587-nucleotide long non-coding RNA. RefSeq lists it as uncharacterized. The record is from RefSeq and is a predicted model, not a curated record. Lineage: Eukaryota; Metazoa; Chordata; Actinopteri; Siluriformes; Bagridae. The transcript has 4 exons.
UUACGUAAGGUUUCACGAAAAACCAUGAAAGGAAGGCGAUAGAGCGCUGAGACUGCGGCAAACAAGUUUUCAGCUCCGUAGUAGCACUUUUGCACAUGAAUGCAUUGAUUCAACAAGGUGAAAGAGAUAAGCGUUAAGCUCGGCCCCUCAAUCUACCCCUGCAACGAUUCUGAACAGGACAGGAGUUUUCUGGUCGCCAUUUUCUUUCAACUCUAACCCACAGAUUGAGCAAGACUUUGUUCUGAUGUUUGGAGAAGGAGUGUCAGGCAAGCUACUGGAGAAGUGAACCACUGCAUUCAAGAGAAAAGUGAUUUCAGCUGUGCAAAAAGCUUCCAAGCACCAGUGAUUUGGAAGAACUACUGCUAGCAGCUGAAUCUCCUACUGGUGACUCAGAAGAGGGUGUUAAUUUUGGUUGGGAUAGUGACCUCUCUUCUAUAAUACUUCUGCUGCAUCUGAUCCCACCUUCUGCCUAAGGCCAGAAAAGACCAGGAAAGGUGUCUGUGUCUCAAGCACAGAAGCACCUUGUUGUCUUCAAGAAGAGUGGAACAAACAUUGAGGAGCAUUUUCGAGAAAUCACAGCUAUUGCUCAGCCCUAUCUCCUGGCCGUGGGACCUCAGAAGAAUUCCGUUCACCAGUACUUCAACGUUCUUGAUCAGCAUGCCAUUCCAUGCAAGUCAACCUCUUCUCUUGGUGCCUUUGAUGAGUUGUUUAAGGCACACUUUGUUUUUGGCACCUGUUACAACAUUAUGCUACACAACAUGUACACUUUCAUUCAGACCACUGUGUACAACAUAGAUGUUGGCAAAGUGAAAGAGAGUCCUUGUGUUGCUGAGGUUAGAGCAAGGCUGCUUAGCUAGGUGCCUUCUGUCCUUAUGGUGUUUUGUUUGUCAGGCUGAGUUACUUGGUUCAAAAUUGCUUAUUAGGCACUUCAGAUUAGUUCAUGGUUUUGUUCCUGGAAAGAAUCUUUGCCUUAAUUGUGUAGAGACAGGGUGUAGUUCUGUGUUUGGUACUUUUUCAGGUUUUAGAAAACAUUUGAAUACAAAAUAUGCCAAGUAAAUUGACCAGAAUUUUGACACCACUGACAACCAUGAGACUGCUGAGGCAGAAGGACAAAUUAGUGCUCAAUCAUUUGAUCAGGCAGUGUUGGAGAGGUGGCCACAACGUCUGUAUUAUUAAAGUCAAAUAAGAGCACUUUGGAUAUGUGUGCGUCUGCUGUUGCACAACUAAAAGUUGCUGGGUUAAGUCAGUCUGCUAUAAGUGGUUUUGUUUCAUCUAUGGAGGAAGUUGUUUUUGAAGGAUGCAGCUUUGCUCUGUCUGUCUCCAAAUGACAUUGCUACUAAAAGGAAAAUAGAAAGUUCAAUUGAACAUUUGAAAAAUCUGUUUACUUUGUUAAAUUUGGAAGCCAAACGAAAGAGACAUUUUUCAGAGAAAUGGCUAACUGUUGAACCAACUCAAAUUGUGCUCGGCACAAGGUUUGAUAGCAGGAGCAAUAAAACCUUGUGCUCGGCACAAGAUUUGAUAGCAGGAGCAAUAAAACCACAGGAACAUUCGAUCAGGUUGUUGUAACAGAUAAAUUUGCUUAUAUUCCCAUAUUAGAAACACUAAAGUCAAUUACAAAAUCCGCAUCUUAUUGAUUUGUUUAAACCCAGGCAUGUUCCAAAGGAAGGUGUUUAUGUUGACUUAAGUGAUGCGGCACAUUUUAAAAGUAAACCUUUAUUUUACACAGAAAAAGAUGCCUUACAAAUUCAGUUAUUUUAUGACGAUUUUGAGACCGCUAAGCCUUUGAGUUCAAAAAAAGCUUUACACAAAUUGGGUGCUAUAUAUUUUACAUUAAGGAAUUUCACCCCUAUGUUUAACUCUUCAUUGGAUAAUAAAAAGUCAACAUAAACGCCUUCCUUUGGAACAUUAUGUGCCCUCUUUCAUGCACAGGAUAUUAGACGGUAUGGAUUUAAAUCUAUAAUUGAGCCUCUAGUAAAUUAUCUAAAAGUGCUUGAGAUUGAGAGGGUUAAGAAUCCAGUGUCUGGAAGUUGUGUUAGGGGUAUGUUGUUCAAGUAACAGGGGAUAACCUUGGCUUACAUGGUUUAUUAGGGUUUGUGGAGUCAUUUGGGGCUCAAUAUUGCUGUUGUUUCUGUGUCCUUGAGAAAGAUCACUUUCAGUUUGUGUGGUGCAUGUGCUAUGAAGCUAAACACAAUUAAAGAGCUUCAAAAACAUCACCAAAAUGCUAGCCAAAAAGCACCAGAGUUGUAUGGCAAUGCACUGGGAGUAUUUUAGCCAGUACAGAUUGACUCUUGGUCCAGGGAAGAUGGUGGAACUCAGUGGACUUAAAGGUGGCAGUGACAUGGCUUCCAAACUAGGAGUGGAAAUAUCAGAACUUGUCUAUUCUGUAACGUGGAUCAAACAUCAUGGUACAGAGUAUCGCCCUAGUUUUAUUAUCUGUACAGAAGUAGCAUGUGAGAUGCCAGUGCUUUGUAAGAUAAAGACUAUUGCUGUGAAGGAUGAUUAUUAUUAUUAUUAUUAGACAAAAAUUUAUUUAAAAAAACACAGCCUAGGGCGUUCGAGCCACAUGCACCAAAUUCAGAUAUGUUGU